RNAcentral lists this ribosomal RNA (467 nucleotides) under uncultured bacterium. Its description in RNAcentral is "partial 16S ribosomal RNA". It matches the Rfam family "Bacterial small subunit ribosomal RNA", at positions 28 to 507 of the family's 1533-position model. The record is from RNAcentral.
GACGAACGCUGGCGGCGUGCUUAACACAUGCAAGUCGAACGGAAAGGCCUCUUUCGGGGGGUACUCGAGUGGCGAACGGGUGAGUAACACGUGAGUAACCUGCCCUUGACUUUGGGAUAACUUCAGGAAACUGGGGCUAAUACCGGAUAGGAGCUCCUGCUGCAUGGUGGGGGUUGGAAAGAUUCGGCGGUUGGGGUUGGACUCGCGGCGUAUCAGCUUGUUGGUGGGGUGAUGGCUUACCAAGGCUUUGACGGGUAGCCGGCCGGUGGGGGUGACCGGCCACCUUGGCUCUGAGAUACGGCCCCGACUCCUACGGGACGCAGCAGUGCGGAAUAUUGCCCAAUGGGUGCAGGCCUGAUGCAGCAGCGCCGUGGGCGGGAUGACGGCCUUCGGGUUGUAGACCGCUUUCGCUCAUGACGAAGCUUUGUGUGACGGUAGUGGGUAAAGAAGCACCGGCUAACUACGUG